Molecule: regulatory RNA element, 75 nt
Organism: Carnobacterium sp.
Lineage: Bacteria; Bacillati; Bacillota; Bacilli; Lactobacillales; Carnobacteriaceae
Source: Rfam
CCACAACUACAACCGCGCGGGAAUGAGUAUACAAGACCAGCAAUGGCGCUCAUAACGGCGAGUCUAAGUCUAAUA